AGCAUAUCAAUAAGCGGAGGAAAAGAAACCAACAGGGAUUGCCCUAGUAACGGCGAGUGAAGCGGCAACAGCUCAAAUUUGAAAUCUGGCUUCGGCCCGAGUUGUAAUUUGUAGAGGAAACUUUUGGUGAGGCACCUUCUGAGUCCCUUGGAACAGGGCGCCAUAGAGGGUGAGAGCCCCGUAUAGUCGGAUGCCGAUCCAAUGUAAAGUUCCUUCGACGAGUCGAGUAGUUUGGGAAUGCUGCUCAAAAUGGGAGGUAAAUUUCUUCUAAAGCUAAAUAUAGGCCAGAGACCGAUAGCGCACAAGUAGAGUGAUCGAAAGAUGAAAAGCACUUUGAAAAGAGGGUUAAAUAGCACGUGAAAUUGUUGAAAGGGAAGCGUUUGUGACCAGACUUGCGCCGUUCCGAUCAUCCGGUGUUCUCACCGGUGCACUCGGGGCGGCUCAGGCCAGCAUCGGUUUUGGUGGGGGGAUAAAGGUUCAGGGAACGUAGCUCCUCCGGGAGUGUUAUAGCCCUGGGCGUAAUGCCCUCGCUGGGACCGAGGUUCGCGCAUCUGCAAGGAUGCUGGCGUAAUGGUCAUCAACGACCCGUC
This 590-nucleotide ribosomal RNA is filed under the name Sordaria fimicola. RNAcentral describes it as "eukaryotic LSU rRNA". It matches the Rfam family "Eukaryotic large subunit ribosomal RNA", at positions 37 to 653 of the family's 3401-position model. Lineage: Eukaryota; Fungi; Ascomycota; Sordariomycetes; Sordariales; Sordariaceae. The record is from RNAcentral.